RNAcentral lists this ribosomal RNA (252 nucleotides) under uncultured bacterium. RNAcentral's name for it is "partial 16S ribosomal RNA". It matches the Rfam family "Bacterial small subunit ribosomal RNA", at positions 978 to 1208 of the family's 1533-position model. The record is from RNAcentral.
AAGGCUUGACAUGUUCGGCAAAGUUGCUGAAAGGCAAUAGAUGUUAUCCGAACACAGGUGCUGCAUGGCCGUCGUCAGUUCGUGCCGUGAGGUGUAUGGUUAAGUCCUAUAACGAACGCAACCCUUGGGCUUAGUUACCAGCAUUCAGUUGGGGACUCUAAGCCGACUCGCCGAGUAAGUCGGGAGGAAAGGGAAAGGAUGACGUCGUGGUCGUCAGUCGGUCCCUUAGUCGUCCGUUGGGCGACACACGUG